This 549-nucleotide ribosomal RNA is filed under the name Neurospora sp. YY-2. Its description in RNAcentral is "eukaryotic LSU rRNA". The stretch from base 203 to 356 matches the Rfam family "5.8S ribosomal RNA". Lineage: Eukaryota; Fungi; Ascomycota; Sordariomycetes; Sordariales; Sordariaceae. The record is from RNAcentral.
AGGGAUCAUUACAGAGUUGCAAAACUCCCACAAACCAUCGCGAAUCUUACCCGUACGGUUGCCUCGGCGCUGGCGGUCCGGAAAGGCCCUCGGGUCCUCCCGGAUCCUCGGGUCUCCCGCUCGCGGGAGGCUGCCCGCCGGAGUGCCGAAACUAAACUCUUGAUAUUUUAUGUCUCUCUGAGUAAACUUUUAAAUAAGUCAAAACUUUCAACAACGGAUCUCUUGGUUCUGGCAUCGAUGAAGAACGCAGCGAAAUGCGAUAAGUAAUGUGAAUUGCAGAAUUCAGUGAAUCAUCGAAUCUUUGAACGCACAUUGCGCUCGCCAGUAUUCUGGCGAGCAUGCCUGUUCGAGCGUCAUUUCAACCAUCAAGCUCUGCUUGCGUUGGGGAUCCGCGGCUGCCCGCGGUCCCUCAAAAUCAGUGGCGGGCUCGCUAGUCACACCGAGCGUAGUAACUCUACAUCGCUAUGGUCGUGCGGCGGGUUCUUGCCGUAAAACCCCCCAUUUCUAAGGUUGACCUCGGAUCAGGUAGGAAUACCCGCUGAACUAAGC